AGAUACCUCUGAGGCUGUCUUCAAGAGAGACAGCCUCAGAGGUAUCUUUUUUUGGAAA
Molecule: non-coding RNA, 58 nt
Filed under: Mus musculus (house mouse)
Lineage: Eukaryota; Metazoa; Chordata; Mammalia; Rodentia; Muridae
Also listed under: 1 other name
Source: RNAcentral